RNAcentral lists this ribosomal RNA (1095 nucleotides) under Triticum aestivum (bread wheat). Its description in RNAcentral is "partial small subunit ribosomal RNA". The record is from RNAcentral. Lineage: Eukaryota; Viridiplantae; Streptophyta; Magnoliopsida; Poales; Poaceae.
AUGCUAAUAAAAGCUCGUUGCCAGAAGGGUCAAGAAAAAACGGCAGGUCACUGGACAUUGUGGGGAAAACAAGACAACAACACAACACAAAGCGAAAGGAUUUCCAGCUCUAACUCUACCGUGUUCUUCAACUUGAACAGUUUGGGCAUCUUCAGUAGGAAUGCGCACACAAAUUUCAAAAGGAAUGGAGGUCCAGUACUGCAGAAUGUCAAGGGACUAUACAUUUUCACAAAAAGCGAACUAAGAAAAAUCACCAACAACAACUCAGAGUUUCUUUCGGUCGGAAGCUUUGGUAAAGUCUGCAAAGGAACCCUUCCUGAGAACACCGCAGUGGCAGUUAUGUCCUCUGUCAAGGUAACUGAAGCUUUAAAGGAGCAGUUUAUCGAGCAAAUAGAGAUCCAGACACAUAUGAUGCACGUGAAUAUUCUCAACCUCAUCGGUUGCUGCCUGGAGGUGGAUGUUCCAAUGUUGGUGUAUGAGUUUGCUGGCAAAGGAAGUCUUCAAGACAUUCUUCAUGGCAACAGCAGAAACCAAAAGCUCCCCUUAGACCUGCGUCUGCAUAUUGCAAUUGGAACUGCACAAGGCUUAACAUACAUGCACUCCUAUGGAAAUCAAGCCAUACGGCACGGUGAUGUCAAGCCGGACAACAUACUUCUGGAUGACAAGUUCGUACCGAAAAUCUCAGAUUUCGGGUUAUGGAAGCUGCUUAGAGAGGAAUAUUAUUUCGGCAAGAUUGUAGCUGGGGACAUGGCUUACGUUGACCCAGUGUUCCUUAAAACCGGGCAACUGACAGAAAAAAGCGACGUCUACAGCUUUGGGGCGAUUCUCUUAGAACUCAUUACCAGGAAGCCAAGUGUAUACGACGAAUACUGUAGCCUCAUUUUGGAGUUCCGUAAAGUUUGUGAGAAAGAAAAGAGCGGUAGGGCGAUGAUGGACAAGGAGAUCGCAACUGAAGAAGAAGAUAUCUAUUGCCUGGAAGAAAUUGGCAAGCUGGCAAUUGAGUGCCUAAAAGAAGAUGUAGAAGAUCGGCCCGACAUGGCGGCGGUAGUUGAGCGACUUGUAAUGCUUAAAAAGGAUAGGAUGCUUGAGAGUUAG